AGCAGCCGCGGUAAUUCCAGCUCCAAUAGCGUAUAUUAAAGUUGUUGCAGUUAAAAAGCUCGUAGUUGAAUUUCGGGGUUAGUAGGUUGGUCAUGCCUCUGGUAUGUACUGGUCUCACUGAUUCCUCCUUCCUGAUGAGCCGUAAUGCCAUUAAUUUGGUGUUGCGAGGAAUCUGGACUGUUACUUUGAAAAAUUAGAGUGUUUAAAGCAGGCUAACGCUUGAAUACAUUAGCAUGGAAUAAUGAAAUAGGACGUUCGAUCCUAUUUUGUUGGUUUCUAGGAUUGACGUAAUGAUUAAUAGGGAUAGUUGGGGGCAUUAGUAUUCAAUUGUCAGAGGUGAAAUUCUUGGAUUUAUUGAAGACUAACUACUGCGAAAGCAUUUGCCAAGGAUGUUUUCAUUAAUCAAGAACGAAAGUUAGGGGAUCGAAGACGAUCAGAUACCGUCGUAGU
Molecule: ribosomal RNA, 450 nt
Filed under: uncultured Glomus
Lineage: Eukaryota; Fungi; Glomeromycota; Glomeromycetes; Glomerales; Glomeraceae
Description: SSU rRNA
Rfam family: Eukaryotic small subunit ribosomal RNA
Source: RNAcentral